GACGAACGCUGGCGGCGUGCUUAACACAUGCAAGUCGAACGGAAAGGCCCUGCUUUUGUGGGGUGCUCGAGUGGCGAACGGGUGAGUAACACGUGAGUAACCUGCCCUUGACUUUGGGAUAACUUCAGGAAACUGGGCUAAUACCGGAUUAGAGCUCCCGCCGGAUGGGUGGGGUUGGGAAGGUUUCGCCGUUGGGGGUUGGACUCCCGCGUUAUCAGCUUGUUGUUGGGGUGGUGGUUUCCCAUGGCUUUGACGGGUAGCCGGCCUGAGAGGGUGACCGGCCACAUUGGGACUGAGAUACGGCCCAGACUCCUACGGGAGGCAGCAGUGGGGAAUAUUGCACAAUGGGCGGAAGCCUGAUGCAGCAACGCCGCGUGCGGGAUGACGGCCUUCGGGUUGUAAACCGCUUUCGCCUGUGACGAAGCGUGAGUGACGGUAAUGGGUAAAGAAGCACCGGCUAACUACGUG
Molecule: ribosomal RNA, 468 nt
Filed under: uncultured bacterium
Lineage: Bacteria
Description: partial 16S ribosomal RNA
Rfam family: Bacterial small subunit ribosomal RNA
Source: RNAcentral